RNAcentral lists this ribosomal RNA (254 nucleotides) under uncultured bacterium. Its description in RNAcentral is "partial 16S ribosomal RNA". It matches the Rfam family "Bacterial small subunit ribosomal RNA", at positions 524 to 776 of the family's 1533-position model. The record is from RNAcentral.
CACGUAGGGGGCAAGCGUUGUCCGGAUUUAUUGGGCGUAAAGAGCUCGUAGGCGGUUCGGCAAGUCGGGUGUGAAACCCCCAGGCUCAACCUGGGGACGCCACCCGAUACUGCUGUGACUUGAGUCCGGAAGAGGAGAGUGGAAUUCCUGGUGUAGCGGUGAAAUGCGCAGAUAUCAGGAAGAACACCAAUGGCGAAAGCAGCUCUCUGGGACGGUACUGACGCUGAGACGCGAAAGCGUGGGGAGCGAACAGG